CACUCGGUCCGGAGUUGAUGGGUUAUCUAUGAAUCUUCUUCUGCUUGCAGAAGGAACCCGUUCUUCAGAUGUAAGUCUGUUGAACACCCCGCAACCCUCAAAAAGUUGCAACCCGAUCCCAUCAACACCAACUUGACCGUUGU
RNAcentral lists this small RNA (143 nucleotides) under Caenorhabditis brenneri. RNAcentral's name for it is "snoRNA CBN33659". It matches the Rfam family "Nematode sRNA ceN72-3_ceN74-2". The record is from Rfam by way of RNAcentral. Lineage: Eukaryota; Metazoa; Nematoda; Chromadorea; Rhabditida; Rhabditidae.